Molecule: long non-coding RNA, 431 nt
Organism: Saccostrea cuccullata (small rock oyster)
Lineage: Eukaryota; Metazoa; Mollusca; Bivalvia; Ostreida; Ostreidae
Exons: 3
Source: RefSeq, a predicted model, not a curated record
UCUAUUCCCUAACGGAAAAGGGGGUACUCUUCUAGUGGACUACAGGCGUUAGAGACAUAACUCAUUUUCGAGAAAAUGAUGGUUCUGGAUCAUAUUAUGUUUCUUUGUGUUGCUGCUUUAGUUGUGCUAAAUGAAAUAAAUCCGACAGAGGCGUCUGGACAUGAUGGAUGUGACAGCAGCAAUAAAUUGUCAGGAAACUGGAUGCUUCUGACCAUUCUAUUGAUUCUUGUUGCGGCUUUAAUUAAACGGUAGACACGUCGAUAUUAGAAGUAGUUCAGUGAUUCAAUGCAACGUAGACAUUCAGAGUGCAGCCGUGUUGAACUUUAAAUUCUGAAACUUUCAUCAAUUUUUUCUUUUUAUCUAUUUUUAUUUCAUAGAUAUUUUAAUGUCAGUUUUCCACUUCUUUUGGGUUAAUUUUGUACAUCAUAUGA